RNAcentral lists this ribosomal RNA (428 nucleotides) under uncultured Enterobacteriaceae bacterium. RNAcentral describes it as "bacterial SSU rRNA". It matches the Rfam family "Bacterial small subunit ribosomal RNA", at positions 355 to 774 of the family's 1533-position model. Lineage: Bacteria; Pseudomonadati; Pseudomonadota; Gammaproteobacteria; Enterobacterales; Enterobacteriaceae. The record is from RNAcentral.
UGGGGAAUAUUGCACAAUGGGCGCAAGCCUGAUGCAGCCAUGCCGCGUGUGUGAAGAAGGCCUUCGGGUUGUAAAGCACUUUCAGCGAGGAGGAAGGGUUCAGUGUUAAUAGCACUGUGCAUUGACGUUACUCGCAGAAGAAGCACCGGCUAACCCGUCGCCAGCAGCCGCGGUAAUACGGAGGGUGCAAGCGUUAAUCGGAAUUACUGGGCGUAAAGCGCACGCAGGCGGUUUGUUAAGUCAGAUGUGAAAUCCCCGCGCUUAACGUGGGAACUGCAUUUGAAACUGGCAAGCUAGAGUCUUGUAGAGGGGGGUAGAAUUCCAGGUGUAGCGGUGAAAUGCGUAGAGAUCUGGAGGAAUACCGGUGGCGAAGGCGGCCCCCUGGACAAAAGACUGACGCUCAGGUGCGAAAGCGUGGGGAGCAAACA